This 21639-nucleotide long non-coding RNA is filed under the name Vitis vinifera (wine grape). Its description in RNAcentral is "long non-coding RNA (VVIN_LNC001702)". The record is from RNAcentral. Lineage: Eukaryota; Viridiplantae; Streptophyta; Magnoliopsida; Vitales; Vitaceae.
UGCCCAUCGGAUUUGCGGUGUUCAUGGUUCACCUGGCAACAAUUCCCAUCACCGGCACCGGUAUCAACCCGGCUAGAAGCUUCGGAGCUGCUGUCAUCUAUAACAACGACAAGGCCUGGGAUGACCAUGUAUGUCCUCCUCCUCCCUGAGUCCCCACUGUACGUAUAUAAUACUCUAGUUUUGAUGAUUUUUUAUUUAUUUAUUUUUAUUUUUUGAUACAGUGGAUGUUCUGGGUCGGACCAUUCAUUGGAGCUGCCAUUGCUGCAUUCUACCACCAGUAUAUUCUGAGAGCAGCGGCCAUUAAAGCUCUAGGAUCUUUCAGGAGCAAUGCCUAGGUUUUGGACGCUAGCUGGUGAUGGUGAUGGUGAUGGUUUCUGCAACAAGAAUAACAUCAAUGGUGGAGGAGUAUUAGUACAUGCAAAUCGGUCUCAAUCUCUUUCCAGUGUUUUUUCUCUUCUAUCUGCCCCCUCUCUCUCCCUCUCUCCCUCUCUCCCUCCCUUGGAACCAUGGAAUUGUAGAUAAAUUUGGCUUUUAUCUGGCCAUGUCUCUUUAAAUAUAUUUCAAGUGCUGUAUGUUGUCAUCUUUUUUCUUUUCCCUCCUCUCUCUCUCUCUUUCUACUUGGUGUAUUCAUAAUGAUGCUUCCACAUUAUUCUAGUAAAUGGCUAUGCUCCUCAAUCUCCAUCACCCCUUUCCUUUUUCCCUUCUUUUUCGCUUGGAAUGGUGUCAUCUUCAUGCUUCCAUCUUAAGGUAGCUCUACUCUAGGUCGUUUUAGUGGAAAGAAGGAUCACAAUAUUUUAGAUCGAAAUCAAGAUGAUACCAAGACAUAAAUUUUUAAAAAGUUGGAGGGCAAUAAUGACUUGUUUUUUAUUCAAGAACCCUAUCUGAUAAGAUCAACAACUCUUGUGAUAAAGCAUCUUUAAUUUUCUAAUGUACUAACUAGUCAAUGGGACUUUGUUAACUUUAAAAUGAUCUUCUACCAGACUAGAUAGCAAGAAGGAACUUUUCAUUAACCAUCACUUGAAUCCGAAAAAUUGCAUAACAAAAUCUUUGAUCAUGUUUCUUCAACUGUUUCCAUUAAAGAAUUCAUUCAAAAACUUCAGAUUACUCUUGCAUUGAAUUGAAGAACACUUCGAUCAACAAAAAAGUUUAGACAGGUGUCUCCUCACACUGCUCAUCAUACCUUCAGCCCUCUUUAUGACUAUGGACAUCAUUUUCACUAAGCAGCAAUACUUGUUUUAUUUUCCCAACUUUUUUAUUGCUUCAUUCUAAGCAUUCUUAUCCUCAAUCCAUUUAACUACUAUAUGAUCACCAGUUUAAUUAAUAUAGAAGUAGAAAGUGAAAGCCAAAAAUGAUGGUAGGGUUGGCUUUUGUGGUGGUGGAUUCUUGGCAGUGAGAUGAUGGAUUUGAUUCUUUAUUAGUAGUUGCCGAGAGGAAACAAUAAAGAAAAGAGAGGGGAAAAUGAAGAGAUUAUAAAAUAAGUAUUAGGUCAAUAAGGGCUUGGGAUUCCAUGGUCUAAUUAUCAACCUUAUCUCUGUCUUUAUUUUAUGACUUUAAGGGUCAUUUUGUAGGGCAGAGUAGGUGGAGAUAUAGCUGUUUGAUGCAUGACACACUUUUUGGCUUAAAUUAUGGGGGAGUUGAGAGGUGGGGUUUUUGCUAUUUGGGCUUACAUAAUGGGAGAGAGACGUUUUGGCUGAUUUCUAAUGCCCUAGUCUUCAUUCUCUGCAUUUUCUCAUUCCAUUGUACACGCCAUCUCUCUGUAGCUUCUUAAAGCUAAUAAAAGUAAUGUUAAGUUUUUUCUCAUUUUAAUUUUUCUAUAAUAUUUAUUUGUAUUGGGAAGUAGGCUGAAAAACAUAAGUUUGAUUUUCCUUUUUUUUUUUUUUAAAAAAAAAAAGAAAGAAAUCAAAAAAUUAUUUCUUCAAACAAGAUUGUAUCAAUAUUGUUGAUUUAGUAAAGGAUUACAUAAACAAUAAUGGAAGUUUGAUGACUUUGAUCCUGUCUUCAUUUGUUCUUUUUAUUAGAAUGUAUAUUGUUUAAAAUUUAAAAUUUCCAUAAUAAUCCAUUUAGAAAUAAUUUUGAAAGGGAUUAAGAGUCAGUUUAAUAGUAUUUUUUCCUCAAAACAUUUUUUAGUGAGUGUUUGAAAGGGAUUAAAAGUGUGUUUAAUAGUAUUUUUAUGAAAAUUAUCUAUAAAGUGUUUUUUCAAAAAAUAUUAUAAGUGAUUAUUCAAUACUAUAAGAGUAAGUAUGAUAUUGAUUCUAAAAAACAUUUCUAACUUUUCAAACACUUGAAUGAUAAAAAAUUUUAAAUAUUAAAAAUGUUAGAAACGCUUCUUGAAAUUACUGUCAAAUAGGCUUUAAGUGAUUUUCCAAAUUUUGAAAACUGUUUUUUAAAAUUUAUCAAAUACCUUUUUUUCGUUUUAAAAAAGAAAACACUUUUCAGACGAAACAUUUUUAGAAAUCAUUAUCAAACAGACUCUAAAAAUAUAUUGUGUUUAAUAAAAUUUUUGAAAAUCACUUUUAAAAUUUUUGAUAAUCAUGUAAAUACUUUUUAUCAUAUAACAAAUUACUAAAAAUGUUAUCAAAACACAUUUAAAAUUUACAUAUGAUUUUUCUUAAAAGCGUUUCUAAUAUGAUUAAAGUGUUAUAGAUUUUUCUUCAAACCAUUCCCAAAUGGGCUGUAGAUCGAAUGAAGAAGCCUUUGCUAAGUUUUGAUUUAAAAAAUAUCAUGAAUUCAGAAACAUAACAUAAGUAAAAUAAGAACAUGAUUUAAAAAGUAAUAAGAAAAGAUAUUUUCAUUCUUAAACAAUUCAUUUUCUUUUCAAACUAGUUACGAAGAUGGUUGAAAUUCUUUAACAAUCUCCCUAAUUAUAAAAAAAAAAAAAAGAAGGAAGAAAAGUGAUUCUAAGGGUUUUCAUGUAGGAGAGCCACAAUUAGAACUACACGAAUGUUAACUUGAUUAACCAUAGGAUUAAAUGUCUCAAUAAAGUCAAAACCAACAAGUUGAUUGUAGUCUUUGGCAACUAGUCUAGCCUUAUAUUGAAAGACAAAACCAUGAACAUUUCUUUUGAUUUUAAAGAUCCAUUUGCAACUUAUAAGCUUUCUAUUUAAAGGAGGAGAAAUUGGGGUCUAUAUGUUAUUCUUGUUGAGAGCAGUGAACUCUUCUUCCAUGGUUUGUUUCCAUUUCACAUUUGAUAAGGUUGCAGCAACAGUGGAUGGUUCUACAUCCUCAUUCAUAGAAGCAAUGGGAACUUUGGGUCUAAAAAUGCCUACCUUGGCCCAAGUAACCAUGAGAUGAGUAUUGGUAUGAGUAAGGCCACAUGAGGCCUGAUCAACUGGUGCAAGGGUUGAAGAAUGAGAUGGUAAGAAUUUAAAUUCAGGAAUAGAAGAUAAGAAGAUGUAUUAAGGGAAGAAUCAAUAGAACGGAUAGAUAGAGAUAGAAUUGAAGGUGGAAUAAGAGGAGGGGCAAAAGGUAGAAAGAAGACAGUUGGUUGUAGAUUAAUAGAUAGAAAAUGAGAUAAAGAGGGAAUGCUCUAAAACUGAAAAACAGUUUCAUUGAAAGUAACAUACUUGGAGAUAUAUACUCGACCAUUGGAGGUAAGACAUUUGUAGCCUUUAUGGGAAGGACUAUAACCAAGGAAAGCACGAGAGAGAGAUUUGUACUCAAGUUUGUGACUGUUGUAAGGUUGAAUGUAAGAGAAACAUUGACCACCAAAGAACUUGAACUCAAGAGUAGUUAGUUGAACUUUAAAGAGGACUUCUAAUGGACUUCCGUUGUUAAGAAUAGAAAUGGGAAGCUGAUUAAUGAUGUGAACAGUAGUAGUGAAAGUUGCAUCCUAAUAUUGAAUUGGGAAGUUGGCUUGAGCAACGAAAGAGAGACUUUUUCCAACAAUGUCUCCAUAUUUCCUUUCUGCAACACCAUUUUGUUCAAGGGUAUGGGAGCAUGAGAGUUGAUGAACAACUCCAAAAUUAUGAAAUGGUGAAGUAAGAGAAUGAAAUUCUCCACCCUAAUUUGUUCUAAGAGUUUUUAAUUUUCAAUUAGGAUGAAGUUUUGCUUGUGUUUUGAAAUUAUGAAAAUUUGAAUACACUUCAGAUUUAGCUUUAAGGAAGUAAAGCCAUGUGAAUCUUGAAUAAACAUCUAUAAAUCUCACAUAAUAUUGAAAACCAUUAUGAGAGGGUGAGAGCAAGGACCCAAACAUUUAAGUGAACAAACUCUAAUGGAGUGUUAUGAGCAAAAUUUGAAGUUGGAAAAAGUAACUUGUGGCUUUUGCCCAAUUGAUAAUUAAGCUAUAUAAAAUGAAAAAUUCUCAUUACUAGAAAAUUUUCUUUUGCAUUGAUUCAAGAGAAUUGUGACAAUCUUAUAACUUGGAUGACCAAGUCUUUGAUAAGCUAUGUAAAAUGAAAAAUUCUCAUUACUAGAAAAUUUUCUUUUACAUUGAUUCAAGAGAAUUUUGACAAUCUUAUCAGUUGGAUGACCAAGUCUUUGAUACCUAAGAUCAAGGUUAGACAUUGAGCUUUGAUUACAAUGAAUUGAAUUGAAAUUUGAACUAGAACAUAAGUUGGUUGUUUACUAUAAACCUUGGAGACUGAAGGGUGUUGGAGAACCGAUUUGUUGAAGAUGAAGCUAGAGUAUGAUGACACCUAGUUGGACUGGUGAAAGACUGACUUGAAGGAUAUGAGAGUCUUGGAAGAUGAAAUUGAUAAAGUCCAUUCUUAAGAGUUCCUUUGAGUACAAUGGCUCUAAUAACCACAUCCUUUACCAAAUAAAGAGAAUAGUGAAAUUCAAAGUAAACUCCAUUAUCCUUGGCAAAUUUUGAGACACUAAUGAGAUUUUUAGCUAUUUUUGGAACGUAAGAAGCUUCUUAAAAUGAAGAAUUUAAAAGAAUGAAGACUUGAAAAAAAUAGAAUGUCUAACAUGAGAAAUAACCAAACUCGUACCAUCACCCAUAUGCAGCUUAUUAGGGCCAUGAUAAUCAACUCCUACGCUUAGGUUGUUGAAUUCAUUUGUGACAUGAUUGUUACACCAGUGUCUAGAAACCAAGCCUCAUCAUCUUGAGUGUUUGGUGUUGUAGGCAUAGCUUGCAUUGCUAGAGGAUCCUAAGAUGGUAGUGCCAGUAUGUGAAUUUAAGGGGUAACCGGAAAUACCAGUAAAGAAUGGGUUAAAACAAUGGUAACAUUUGAGAACAGUGUGAUCCAUUUUCCUAUAGAGUUGACAUUGAGGCUUAUUAAUACUUCUAUCACCAUAUCCUCAACCUUUGCCUCAUGUACCACUAUGAAACUUGGUGCAUGAAUUACCAUGAAUUUGUGAGUUCUAUAAUGAAUUUCUCUAAUCAAGAUGAGUGAAUUCCUUUUAUGGAUUCUUAACAGGUGACCUCAGUUGUUGGGACGAUAUUAGAGGCAUUGGUAUUAUAGUGCUCAAGCCAUUUUUCAUGUGUAAGCAACAAUGCAAUUACAUGAGUCAGUUUGUGGACAUUCUUAUAUGUGAUUUGCUUAAUGAUGGAUUCAUAAUCAUGGCCUAAUCCAUCGGUAAUAGCUAGUAUCUAAUCUCUUAUGGAAAGAAUAUCACAAACCAAGGCAAAUGAAUCCAUAAUGGUCUUCAUUUUGUUCAAAUAAUCUCUCAUAGCUAAACUACCUUCUGUAAUUCAAAUAUGAAUUGCAUUAAAUGAGCUCGGUUUUGAGUCAAGGUAGCUCAAAUCUCAUGAGAAGUAGUGCAUCCAACCAAUUGGGAAGGAUACUUAUGGAAAUUGAGCCAAGAAGCCAAGAGACGGUCAACAUAUCUUAACAUUGCCACAAUUCAUAAUCUAGGUUGAGGACAGAAAAGGGUGCCUAAAGUAAAACCAUCAAACCCUAAUCACGAAUUACAACAUAGAUUUGUUGUUUUCUAAGAAGAAAGUUAUCCUCAUCAAGCUUCAUUGCAAUUGGCAAUGUGGUUGGAUUCAUCACUUGAAUCAACGAAGAUGAUGAACCAAAAAGUGUUGAUAUAAUCAUUUUAUUGAACAGUGAUAUCGGAGUGAAGUCUAAUAGCUCUGAUACCGUGAAGAGAAAUGAUAGCAUGAGAGAAAUCUGAGUUGCCCUUAUUUUAUUCCUUUUUGUGUUAUACUUGGUACAAAGAUAUUUUUAUAUACCUAUAAUCACACUAGCAUUAGUGUUUCUUAAAAUACAAAAAACAAACAAACAAAACAAAACAAAACAUGAUUAUGCAAAAAGAGACACUUUGCUACUUUAGCACCCUCAUUACACAGCUUUUAUGUAGGCGCAACCCACAAUUGGCAUGGUCUUCAGCGUCAAAUUCCUAAUCGCUACUAACUUCUACAUUUCUGUUUUCAUGAUCUUCAUUAAGUUCAGGAAGGUUAAGAAUUAGGGAACGAGACCUUUUCAAAGGACAUAAGAAGUAUGUACUCUCCUUUUCCAUCUUCUUCAGAAUGUAUAGGAAAAGGAUGUCACCAAGGGCCAAGAUCUAAGUGUUGUUGGUGAUUAAUGACACUUGGGUUAACCUUGCACAGAUGGAGUUGAAAAAAAUGGAGGAACAUGCGUCUUGGGAGGUGAAAUGGGAAACACAAGCUGGCUUGAAAGUGGGUAUGGUGCAGGGUGGUCUUGCUAUGGUUACCUACGGGGAAAUUCGAUUUCUCAUAGUGGGGUAACAAACAGAUAUGAACUCUCCAUCUACCCAAUAUAUAAACUUAAACAUGUCCUCCGGAUCGUUAAGGUUUCUUGAAUCUGCCAUGGAUGCAGAAAAAAUGGUACCCUCGGGAAUUUAGGAAAGAAAAAUAGGAAGUCAAGAACAAAUUGCAGAAAAUUUCCUAAUACCUAUUUUAUUGGUAAAAGCAAAACUUAAAAAGGUACCCUCCAGCCCUUAGAAGAAAUAGGAUUCCUCCAUUCCUCCAUUCCUCCAUUCACAUAGGGACGGGUCCACAUUUCCUAGUGGGAUUCUUUGAAAGCCCAUCAUAUUCACAUGGGCUUUGUUGAAAGGGUAUGGACCAUGGAAUCAUGGACUAAUGACACGAAAAGAACAGAGAAUCAUCUCUGUCCUCCCCUGUUUACACACACAGACAAGUCUUGUGAUUUGGGAGGUGGUGCUCUGGUAAAACAUGUGAAGCCCAAAGGGCCCAUUAACUCGGACAAGGAUCCUGUGCAAAUCAUAAAUGGGCCUUCCCACAUGAAGGAUAGGUCACCAUCUGAAUGAAAAAGCAAACAAGUGGAAUAUGAUAAGGAAGAAAGCGUGAGCAAGACACAUAAUUUUAAUGUAAAAUGUAGAGGAAAAGAAUUGCAUUGAUUUCAGGUUUGGCAUGCGCCUCCCCCUCUGCAAUAAUGUCCCCAAGGCAGGUGAGGAAAUACAUACACUCCAUUAUAAUAAUUACACUCAUCAAAUUUAUAUAUGUGUAUAUAUAUAUAUAUAUAUAGAGAGAGAGAGAGAGAGAGAGAGAAAGGGAGAUAUGCCCUUUGCUGAUCCUUGAAGCCAAGCAAAAGUGAAAACGCUUCAUGCUUCCAUUACUUAGAACCAUUAACAAAGGCAACAACACAUAAAAACAAGGCCGCUCUUCCAAUUCUGCACUCACUUAUUGAUGGGGAUAUAAUUUAACACGGCAAUGGAGAAUAGAAGACAUGAGUUUGAGGGCCAACAUAAUCAAUAAGCUUAUGAGGAGGAUUAAUCAUAAUAAGUGACAAUCAUACCUUGGUAACUUCAUCUCACUUCCUUCACUGCAGCUUUUUGCUUAACCAGGUGUCCCAUAUGGGAUUGAGCAAGUGCUAAAAAAUGAACCUUAGAAAGGGCAUUUUGGGGUGACCAACAUUGGCAGAGAACACAUUCCCAUCAUUUUGUUCCCUCUUGAAUUCAACUCCAAGGAACAAGCACUUCCCAAGGCAUUAUAAAAGCCAGUUCAAAGCCCCCAAAAUUUCAACACUCAAAAGCUCUUGCUUCUUUAGCCUCAAGUUAUUCAAAAGCAAAAGAAGUGAACAACAUGAAUCCAGCGGCUUCUUUCCUGCUCUUCUUUUCUCUUGCCCUUCUCUCCUUAGCUAGAGCUCAAGGAAGAGCACCCCAUGGGCUUGCUUAUGAGAACCCGAUGGCUUUCUCGCCAUCUGCAUUUGAUUUCUUCCAUCCGAACGGCCAAAAACCAAGCACCCAAAACCCUUGUGCUGCAUCAAACUGCUCACCAUUGCCUAUGGCAGCGCAGGUGGAAGCCAGUCUAGCGCAUCAAAGCAAAGCAUCAAGCAACCGGGUGGGAGCUGGAGGAAUUGCGGGCAUUGUGUUUGGGUUUGUGUUUGCUGUGCUUUUGGCAAUGGGUGUUUACUAUGUGGCGGUCACACGUCGAGCCAAUUUGACCCGAGCCAACUCUGUUCAGCCUGAUGCUUGAUUUACCUACUAUAAGCCACUGACAGCAAGCACCCAGGAUCAUUCCACAGUGAUAUGAUCUUCUUGUUCUCUUUUAUUUUUUGUAUUUUUCCCAAUUUGGGGUAAGAAAUGUUGUAUUUAUCAUCUUGUUACCAAUUAGCUACAUGGUAUUGUACUAUUAGAACUCUUGGCCAAAGCGAUUAUCAAACCAUCCAUCUUUAGGAGGGGAUAACAAAUGAAUUCUAUCACAGCCAUGGAGGGGGCAACAGGUUAUUGAGAUAAAACUACAUAUAUAUAUAUAUAUAAAAGGAAAUAAAGAUGUAAAAAGAAUCACAAGAGAAGAACAGACUUAAGUUCGAACAGUCAUGAUAAUCAUCAAUACUAAAAAUUGGAACAGAACUAAAGAUACCCAAUGCAGGAAAAGUCUCCUUUUGGAGCUUAUCUGGCAUUAUAAGUCAGCCAAACACUUCAAUAUGCCCUUUUUCCACCUUCUAAAUUGCAUCCACAACACAUGUUCUGAACAACAAGCCUUUUGUUCCGAAGCAUUUUAUUUUCUUCAUGUUUCUUGGACUACAUCACGAUCAUAGAGGUUUAAUGCAAACAAGGUCAGUAACUGAAAGUUCUGACAUUGAACCCCUAUAGAAGCAUUAUUAUUAAAGAGAGCUUCCAUUGUUAGAAUCCGAGGUUUUAUUCAUUUGUAACAGGCAUGACAUAAGGGGUUUUACUUCCUCCACAAUCCAUGAUAUAACAGAAUUAGAAAUUAAUCUCUUUAUGGUUAUAUCAAGGUGUCGAAUUUUGACCCAACAGUUUUUUAGUAGAGUUCCUUAAAGCAAGAAAGUUUAGAGAGCGCGCAAAAGGAUGGUGUAGAUAAAAAAGAGGCCCAACCAAGGGAUUUAUUUACUUCUAAGUCAGGCUGAACCAAAUUUUCCUAAUCAUAAUAUUUUUUGCAAAUACUUAAUUGGAAAAGAACACUAACUCAGGUUGAAAGCUAUCAUUGGUUAGUCCUAAACAGCCACAAGCCGGCUCUUAUCAAAAGGAGUCUCCCCAUUCAUACAUACAGUUCAACCAUGAACAUUUGAAAAGAAAAAUACAUGCCAAGAAAAGAAAAACCUAGGUGGAUCAUAUUUGCUGGGUUUGCAAAAUACGGCCAAAUUCUAAGGUUACAUACCAUAUAGAGAAAUUGCUAUCAUAUAAUCAUCAAGCAUCUUCCAGAGAUGGACAGAAAAACAGAAUGUGGGCUGUGUAUUAUGUGGGGUUAUUAUAAGGUGGCUGCUGUCUAAGGAUGAAUCCCUCAAAUAAUUCAGAAGAUUUAUAAGAUAAAAAUGGGGGAGCAAUUCACUUGUAUAAAGUAGAAAUAUAUUGGAAGUGAACUUAUUUGUACAUUUCUACCACCGAUACAAGCUAAGAGCUUCAGGUUGCAGGAAUAGAAAGGAAGUUCACAUAUCGGCAGUAAGAUUAUUCAAAACAUUUCUACCAUCCACGUGAACUAAGAGCUGCAAUGACAGGUCCCAGUGUCUUGUCCACAGUCUUGUUCCAUAGGUGGGCGAACUCCAAACGAGAUUUCUUUCCAAAUAUGGGCUCUGUUUUCUGGAAUAAGUUUGACAAAAAUAAAAACUAUUAGGCCAUGUUUUGACAAUGAGUAAUUCAAAGAAAAUGGAUCCAUGAGAAUGGAGAAGCUUAAAGAGACGUAAUGCUAUCAUAUGGUACACUCAAAGGGGGGAAAAAGUGUAUCUUCCAUUUGUUGACAAAGUAAAAGUCAAUGGCACCUGUUAUCAUGAGAAGUUAAAUCAAAACCGAUACAUAGAUCAAAAUUACACCUAUGUGCUAAUCCUCAGUUAAACACCACUACCAUAGAAUUUCAAUGCAAUCAAAUAUGAAUAAGGUACAGGCACAAAUAAUAAGUGCUGCACUUUGAUGCAGGUAUGGGGAUGCUCGACAUGGUUUACACCACAGAUUGUAGCAGGAAGGACUUUAUUCCCAUGCUCAUAUUUCAGCCCACCUAAAUUCCCCAAACCUCACUUGACCACAAGAUGCUUAAUUACAUGUACAAACCUGGGUCUUCCAGGGAUAUGUAGAUGCACAUACAUCCAGCUACCUUGUUGUCAUUCUUGCUCAUGAAAAGGUUGUCAAAUUUGAGAAAUUUGCAUUUUUAAAAGAUAAGAUAUUAGAUCCUCCUGGACAUAGUCCCUGGUGAUGUUCCACGAACUAGAUUGAGAAAGUAUGACUUCCUUUCUCAGAAAUGAACUCCUCACAAAAAUAGUUCUCAGUAACUCAUUUCUACAAUUCUUAAUCAAGAGGCUGUUGGUCAAAGCUGCAAGUUCUUCUGGCAGGUAAGAUACAGGCUGUGGGUCUAGUUCUGCAAAUCGGGAUGUGAUAAAGGGAAACUGAAAGAAUUUAGAAUGAUAAAUGAGGGCAUUUGUUAAGCAUCAUUUGAAGGAUGCAGCACAGCAAUGUGAUUAGUACAGAGAUUUGCAGCAGAAAAUGAAGAAAAGCAAAUGCCUUGAGAAACUCAACAGAAUAAGGUUUACACAAGACCACUCAUAUUUCACAAUCAAGGGCAACACAAGUAAAACAUUCCAGUGGGAUUCAUUAGGCAAAGCAAAGCCACCUGACCACCAGCAUGUCAAAGACUGCCCAGCCUUUUUAUUUUCUUGGUAAAUGUAGGCAAAGCACAUGGCUGAUCUUUCAACAGAAUUUCAUCUAAGUACUAGUAUCCACCAAGAGAACCCACUGCAUUUGGUAAAGUGGGCAACUGUGUCCUCAGCAAAACAGUAUGGAGUUUUGUUAAUUCAGAAUUUCCUAAUUCUGAAUAAGGCUUGGUUGGGUAAAUGGUUUUGAAGAUGGCAUUCUGAGGUGGGAAGGGGCAAUAGCCUCAGGUUUUUGGAAAGCUAUUCAAAGAGGGUGGGAAGAUUUUUUUUUCCCCCGACUUAUAUUCCUGUGGAUAAAAGGCCUAAGUUUUGGUGUGAUAUUUAGUGUGGGAGCACCAUAUUUAAAGAUCAUUUUUGGGAUCUUUUUUUCCAUCAAUUUAAACAAAAAUAUCCUGGUGGCAAAUUAUUGACAAAGGGAAGGUAGGAGUGACCAUAGGAAUCCAAGGUUCAUCAGGAGAUUUUAUGAUUGAAUUGAAAGAGGUGGAAUCCUUUUUUGUUUGUCUUCAGAAUGUGAUUAUGCAUGAAGAUAAGGAGGAUAAGUUAGCCUGGAAGUAAGCAAAAGAUGGAAGAUUUUUCCUGAAAUAAUUUCAUUACAUUUUAAGUGCAUAUUGUUAUAACUCUUUCCCACAUUGAAGGGUUUGACACCUCACUUGCAACCCCCAUAAAGUUGGUUUCUUUGAUUGAUAAGCAAUCUAGAAAAACAUUCUAACUUUGGACCAGAUUAUGCAACGGGAAGGGUUUUAGCCAAUUGUUGUCAUUUGUGCCAGCAGGAAGAAACUACUUGCCCAUCACAUAUUGGCACAGAGUUAUGGUCUUUAUUAUUCACAACUUUUGGCAUCACUUGGGCAUUUCUUGAGACAGAUAAGGAUACAUUAAUCAGUAGGUGCAGAGAGAUGGUGAGGAAAGGGAAAGGGAAGAUAUGUUUAUUUUGGUGUAAUUGGAAGGAAUACAAGAGGAGGGUCUUUGAUGGUUUGGAUUGUCUGAAAUUGCAGCUGAAAAAAGUCAGUAGGACAUGGAAGCCUUCUAUUAUAAAUUUGAUUGAUGUUUUGGGUAGUACUUUAAGAGUGAAGAGUCUGUUCCUUUUUCUUAUCUUUUGUCUUUAUGGUCUCUGUAUGCAUCAUGUGUACAUGGGGGGGUGUGUCUCCUUUUUGAUGCUUACUAUAUAAAAAUUUUACUUAUCAAUAAAAGAAAAAGUCUUACAGCUCAAGGGAGCAAACCAAACAGCUUUCUAAUCUUAUAAAUAAAAUAAUUCUCCAAUUAAGUCUCUCCAACAGUAAGCUUUUCAAUAUAUCAUUCAUGACCGUGUUUCUAACUUUUCAUAGAACCAAACAAUUAUAUAAGCCAUCCAAUAUAAUUUCUUUUGUUCCAUCACAAUUUAUAAUCAAAGGAAUAAAUGAAAAAAAAAAAGAUGUCAACUUCUCUAUGCUUUUUUCCCACACAAAUAGCACUGCCAAACAUGUAGAAAGAGGUGGAACCCUAAUAGUCAAGAAUAAACGGGACAGGACACAAUUCUUCUGCACUUUCUAAUUCAAUAUUUCUCGAGAACAAAUGCCUACCAAAAAAAAAAUCUCAAGAACAAAUUGAAUGUCAAUCUUCUUCCAAACAUGGCUUUUUUUGUUGAUAAAUAAGAGAGUGCAUUAAAAAGUGCAACUAGUGCACAAGAGUACACAAAACGUAUACAAUAAGCACUAAAAGGCAAAACAAAAAUAUACUCCCUCCCUCAACAGGAACCCAACCAAUCUAUUAAAUGGCUAUCGAUCUACACUGAAGCUACAAACGAACAAGUUACCUUUAAAAUGUUUUAUUUCCUUUCAUGAUUGUGGUAUUUAUAGGCAUAAAAUACUAUUAAAAGAUCACUUAUCAUUUAGCCAUGGGCAAUCAAAUUCAUGUAUAAUCAUAUUGAGGUCAAUUCAAAAACCUCAAACCCCACUACUUGGUACCAACAACAUGAAUACCUCUUCAAUAAGCAGCUAUAUCUACAACUAUAUAAUCAAAUUACAUAACAUAACAGGCAAUCAAGUACUGACUCGCCAUCACUGUUUUCAGAAGUCUUCUUCAUAUUCUUACUUGAAUCAUUAAUUCGCCUUGAUUACACAUGACUAAACCCUCUUAAUCAAAUUUUUUCUCAUCACAUCUUCCACAUGAGAACAUUCUUUUUUUUAUUUUUUAUCUUUGUUUGUCUUGCAUUACCAUUCAUCCAAGUCAACAUCCUCAUUUUAGCAAUACCCUACUUCUGAACAUGUUAUUUCCUGUCUGCCUAACAUUUGUUAACUUAAAACAUAAAUGGCUGCAGAGCCACCAUAUAGAAUUUUUGGUCUAACUUGAGAGGCAUCCCCAAAUCACAUUAACAGUCUAGACUGACUUCUCUAUUUCAGCCAUCCUGCUUCAGUCAUGCAUACCUGGUUUCUACAUCAGUCAGUCAUAUUUCAGUAAGUUUUUAGCUUGUCUAUAAAGCUUUUAAGAGUUUAUAAAUACGAGUCGUUUGUAUGAAAUGAAACUUUCAAGUUUGAACUUGAAAAUCUGAAACUUUUAGUUGAUUAGAAGGCACGAUAGAAUGACUCUCUAGAUUUCGGUACUGCUUUUCCUUGUCCUCCUACUCUUUCUCCUACUUUCUUCCAAUUCUUAGCACAACUGUAUUUCUCCCUGAACCAAUAACACCUGUCAGCUUUUUUUAUUUCUCAAACCUGAGCCCUAGUUUCACGACCCUAAAUUUCAUCUUCAUGAUUUUUCCCAAGCAUCCAAAUUAAUUACGAACUAGCUGCUGCCCCAACACUCCAGUAACAAAUCCCCCAGAAUCCUAGUAAACAUUUACUUUUAAGGCCUUAUCUUGAACUCUAAAAUUGACUUCAAUCUCUAAAAAAAUCCCAAAACUAUAACCUUUUUAGGGCCAGGCAAAACAAUUGAGAAACCUUUCAAUGUUUAAACGCUUGUAUUAACUUUUCCCCACAUUUUGAUCCUACUAUAGAUCGGAAAUUCAUCUUCAAAACAAAGUUUUGAAAUUUUAAACAUGUAUUCAACCGCAAUGAAUUCGUGAAUACAUAAAAGAAAGAACUUUGAACCAAGUAGCAAAAUUCCCUCUUCUUAUUUGACCUGCCAACACCAAUCCUCUCUCCGCACUUCCCAUCAAGUGCCGCAGAACGCAUCCAAUAUAAACAGUUGCAACUCAGAUAAAAUGAACAAUCGUUUUCUAAUUUUAAGGUAGAAACCCUAAAACAAUAAAUAAAAAAGUCUUAUGUUCUAAUUUCUAGGGUUUGAAGAAUACCAGCGAUUGAGGAUCCAAUUGAGAUUGAGUGUCAGCAAUGGAUUUGUAAAUGCAUUUGCGCUGCUCGAAAACAAUAACUCCUGUGAAUAUGCUUCCCAAUGCUGCACCAAGAAGGCGCUCCUGCAUCCACACCAACACGCCACUAGGUCACAUCACAGAGCAAUGUAGAUUUAUAUAAAUGAAUCAACUGGUUUUCCUCCGAAAGAAAAGAGAUCGACGAUGAACCUGAGCGAGCACGCUGAUCAUGGCUUCUUCGUAAGUUUGGAUUCUUCCUCGGGAAAGUGGGAAAGGUUUCUGUUUUCACCCCAAACACUGCGCAGGGGUUCGAGUUUAUAUUUAUGUUUUCUAUCAUUUAAUUGACAAAAAUGAUGGUUUUACCGUUAUCAUUGUGCUUUAUUUAUUUAGAAAUGUUGGAAUGGACAUUUCUGGCAACCGUCAUUAAAAAUUUUGGAAAAAGUAUAUUUCCAAUUUAAUAAAUAAAAAAAAAUCAAUUAAGACUUCUUAUACUCUCACCUAUUAAAGGAAUUACAUGAUUUUGCAUGAUUUAAAAUUAGUUUUCAAUUAAAGUUAAGAUAAAAAAAGUUAUCCAAUAAGAUAAUGUUAGAAAAGAUAUAUAGUUCCUAAAACGUGUUAAUGCAAUAAUAAUAUCGAGAGUAUAUAUUUUUUAUUUCCUUGAUUAAUCUAAUUUCUUUUAAUUGCUAGGCAAAAUAAUGAGUUUUUGUUGAAAAAACAUCAUUUUCAUCUAAUUGGGUCUAUAUCAUUUCUUAAAUUGAAUAUCAUUUAAUUUCAUUAUCUUGGACAUGGGCGUGAAUGUAGACAUGUAAAUAUAGGCAAGGACAUGGACAUUACGUGGUUGUCAUGGUAGGCAAAGUUCCAAGCAUUGUGGCGAUCAUGGUCGUUCUUCAAAAUUUUUAACUAAAGAAAGUCGUUAGACCAAUAAAAACUCUGAUAACACUUGUUAAGUAUGUGGAAGCUCUAAUAUUACUUGUUGAGAAAAAUCACAACACUCCAAACCAAUAGCAAAAAUAAAGUAAAAUAUAUAAGACAAAAUAUUUACGUUGUUAUCAUCUCCCUUUCAUAGACAUAGGUAAUCACCCAUGUCUAUGAAAAGGAUAUCAAAUUUAUAAGUGAGAGAUAUUUGAUUAAAAGACUUCAAAUAUUAUUAAAAUUGAAAGAAUGAUUUUUUAUUAUUAUUAUUCUUUAAAGAAAACUCCUUUUGGACAAUAUUACAAUUCUUUAUUUCCUCAAAAUGACAUUUAUUUCUCAUUCCGAGUCAUUUGCCUCAUUUUCUUCCAAUGGAUUUUUCCAAAUUCUCAUCAUACUCUCUCCCUUUGAAAUUUCAGAUGAAGUUCAAACCUAAAACAAAGAUAAAUGGACAAAGAUAAGUCACAACUCUUUCAUCCUUCUUUUUUUUUCAAAUCUUUCGUUCUUUUUUUUCUUGUUUUAUGACUUAUUUUUGUAGUCAUUUCAAGUUACCAUUACCAUUGAAAACUUUACCUUCGUCAAGUUUUUUUUUUUAACCAAACUUAACUCUUGUUUAGUUCAAGUGAACAUGAAAUUAACAUUUAUUAAAUUUGUAAUAAAUAAAAUUUAAACAUAAUAAAUAUCUAAAAUGAAAACAAUAAUAAGUUGUUUGAGAUAUAAGAUGGUUAGGAAAAGGAAGAAAAAGUGAAAUGAAGAGAUAGAUGUUCUUUUUUGUGGCAAAUAAGGAAUAUAAUGAAUGAAAUAGGCGGGAAGACAAUGUUUUUUUUUUUUGUGGCAAAUAAAAUAAAAAGGUUAAAAAUGUUCAAAGAUGAUCAUUCCUCCACAAAAUUAAAAGGAAUGAAGGAUCGCUUUUAUAAUUUGAGAGUUAUUUUGACCCAUGUGUUUAAAUAACUCUAUUAAUAAACUUUAAGAAUACAACUUCAAACUCUCCGAGUCUUCCUUUGCCUAAAACUCAAUGUAUUAUUUGUCUAUCUCUCAUUACUUUUUUCCUACUUUUUUUUCUCUCCUUUUGUAAAUCUAUCAUAAAACCAUAUAUUCAUAAAGUCCUAUGUGUUAAUGCUAAAACAAUAGUUUCAUAAUCUCAAUCAAAUUUUAAAAAGUAAGUUACUAUAUUAACUUUUCUAAAAAUGAAAAAUAAAUCAUUUGAACCAAGUCUUAACCAUUAUAUCAUAUCAAUAGAAGUGGAAUAACAAAGCGAAAACACAAGAAGCAAAAAUACUAAAAGACGAGUCUUAUAAAACUAAAUAUUAUAGAUAUGACACAAGGUGCAUGCCUAUCACACAUUAAAAUAUUUAAUCAAACUUUAUCAAGAUGAGUAAAAAGAAAAAUUAACCAUUUGAUUCUAAAUGGGAAUGCCCAUCUAGAUUAAGUGUAACGAUAUCACUUUUAACAUGUUCUUUAUUUUCUCCUUUAUCUUUGAAAUAUUAGACAUUUUUGUUAUGAGUUGCACACAGAUAAUUUCUUUUCAUUAAUUUCCUUUUUUGUUUUAAUAUACAUAAAUUAAUCUUACUAAUUCCUUAGUAAUUUGCAAUAUGAACCUUGUUGAGGAAUGUUUCAUACAUUGUGCAACAACACAAAUUUUUUUAUAUCAAAGAUAUUUCUCAAACUUAAUCGUAAUUGAAACAAAUAUUAAUACGAUACAAGGCUCUACAACACUACAAGGGCUUUUGGAAAAAUGACCAUUGUAUUAAGAAAUUUUGUAUCUAUGAUGCUCUACAUUCUAGUAGAUCUAAAAGAAAUUUAUUUUGUUUUAAAAAUAUACGUCAAUUUGAUACCAUGCAAGAAAAUCAUAUUGGAUAUUUUUGUAUCACUUCUAUACUUUCUAACCAAAAACAUAUCUUACAAAAACUUCUUAUAUGAUCCUAUAAGUUAUAUCAUACCACUAUUACACCUACUAAAAACUUUUAUAGGACAUGGCCAAUUAUGUCAUUCAAGUUUAGGUCUUUGUGAGGUCCUCGACUUCUUAAUUAUAAUAACUUUUUCCUCUCAUUGUUUUGGUAGAAACCUUAAAAUAUUCUUCACCAUUUUUAUUCAAUUUAAACAUUUUCCAAUGAUUAAAGAUCAUUGAUAAUGUUGAUGAACCUAAUAAUUAUUUUAAUAAAAAUGUCAUUAUCUUGCAUAUUAAAUAAUUCGUGAUUUUUUAUUUUUUAACUCAAUUUAUUUAUUUGUGAUCAUCUCAAGCAAUCUUCGUAUUUCUUUUGUCUAUUCUAGUGAGAUUGAAGUAAUCCUAUAUCAAAAGAAGAUAAAAAAGAGAGUUUCCUUAUCCUAUAAAAGAAAGUCCAUCUCCUAUACCAUUCAUCCCCAGAAAGGCUUUUAUUAUUUUGUAAGUUUUUAUAUUAUUUUAUCUUAAUAGAGAUAAAAUGUUGUAAUUUUAUUUUCAUAUGGUGGAUAUUUUUCGCUUAUUCCCCCUCCAACCUUAUAUUAAUCAAUAGUUGAGUAAUAAAUUUAAGUAGUAAAUUUAAUUUGAACAUUCAAUAAUUGAGACAGCUAAAGUGUGAAAUUUAUUCAUUUUAUAAAUUUAAAUUAGCCUUAUAUUAAUCAUAUGACAUUUUUUGAAAAUUUAAGCAUACACAAUAUCUCAUGGAGAUAAAAGUAUAUUGUUUAUAUAGAGAAGUUAAAUUAUCAUUUAAUAAUACAAUUUCACGUGUUAUAGUUUAAACUAUAAAAAAAGUAUUAUCAUAAUUUCUUAUAUAAAAAUGUAUUGACUAUUUUCCAAUCAUUAUUUAUCUCAAAAGUGGGUAUAAAUAUUUAAAAUUUUUCUCAACAAUUACCUUCCAAUAAAUAAAUAAUUGAUAUCAUAUGCUAUGAUUCAGUAAUUUGACUUAACUUCAAAAUUUUAAUUAUAAAAAUGAAAUUAAUUAAAUAGGCUUUUUAUUUAAAAAAAGUUCCAUUUUAAUUUAAAAAAUGAUUUGAUAUGCUUCUUUUAAAUUUGCCAUUUUUAUUACUAUGCUUUUUAUCUUAAUUACCAUAAUUUAAUUAAACUAAUAAAUGAUUUAUAAUUAAAUAUAAUUUAACUAUACAUUAAAAAUAUCUCAUAAAUAGUUAAUAAUAAUGAAAAACUAGUGACUUAUUCAAGUUGAUAACAACAAUUUUUUUCUUUUAUCGAAAAUCAUUUAAUGUGUCUUAACCUUUAUAAUAUUUAACAUAACAAGUGAAGCACACUUACUUAUUAAUUACAUUUAUGAAUUAAAAAUUUGGGAUAUUUCGUUGAAAUAUUGAAUGUAGGUGGUCGAUACGAAAUUGAUCACCAAAGAAGUUUCGGCAAAUGUGAGCUGCAUGCGGGCCUUGCGCUAAGAAAUCAUCAAUUUUUUUAAAAUUGCCAUUUUUUUUUAAAUUCAUGUUUUUUUUUCUGAUUUAUCCUCUAUUUUAAAUUUAUAUCAACUUUUUAUUCAAUAUUAUCCUUUUUAUUUAUAAUUAUUUUUCAUAUUUAUCAUAUUUAAAAAAUUUACGACUACUUCACUUUUAAUUUUUUUUUUAUAUUUAUCCUUUUAAUUUUAUAUAAUUUUAAAUGUUUUUAUUUUAAAAUAUGAAAAAUACAAAUUUAUUAAAAAAUUGUUACAAUAUUUAAAAAAAUCACGAAUUUCUAAUAUUUUAUAAAUUAAAAUUAAUUUAACAAGAUAAAUUAUUAAUAUAAUUUUUAAUAAUUUUAAUUAUUUAAAUACAUUAAUGUUAAUAGUAAAAAGUUUGUCACCAUAGAUUUGUAAUAAAAUUUUAGAAAUUAAAUCUUAAAUAAAAUAUUUUAUAUAAAUUGAUUUAAUUUUUUUAUUUAAAACAUAAUAAAGCAUGUUUUAAUAAAAAUAGUUUAAAAUUUUUAAAACAAAUGAAUAUAAAUAUAUUAAAAUAAUUUAAACUAUUUUUUCUAAAAUAAAUUUGAUGAAUAUUAUCUUUCAUCUUACUUAUAUUAAUUAUACUUACAAAAUAACUUUAAUUGAUGUAUUAUUGCUUAUUUUAUCAUUAUUUAUUUUUUAAGUUUUUUUAAAUAUUUUUUUUGAAUUUUAAAUAAUUUCUUUCAUAUCCAUAUUUUUAUCAAAAUAUCCAUUGAUAUAUUUGUAAAAUCCAAAUAUGUUUAUUAGUAUUUUCAUCAUUGAGUAUAUUUAAAAUUCGUGCAAAUUGAUACAAAAAUUAACUUAAAAUAAUGAGAAUUAUAAAUGAAAGUGUUUUUAAGCAUGAAUUUUUUUUAAUACUUGAAUAAUAAAAUAAUUUUUUAAAAUAUUAAAACGGUUAAAAAUAACCGUGACUCACAAAAAUAGUUUGUUUGUUUUUUUUAACAUUUAAAUAAUAAAAUAAAAUUUUCAAAUAUUAAAAAUGUUAAAAAUCAUGGUGACUUUUCAAGGUGAUGGUAUGUAAGUCUAGCAACUAUUACACAAACAAACGAUGUAUUAAAGGCUCGUGAUGAAUCAUAGGAAUACUUUUUAAGAGUCAAAAGAUUUACAAAUUAAGUACAAUAGCUUAAAGUAGUUGAUCUUUAUAGCAACUAACCAUUGGAAACAAUUUCUCAUCCGUCAACUGUCAUUUAAUGAGAGUUGCAGAUGACUGUUGAUGCUAAGAGUAUGACCGGUCGCCCAAUAAGUAGAUUGUGCUAAAUAGCACAAAUUUUGGGUUUAGGUGAGACCGGUUGGCAGCCCAAGUUCAUGAGUUAGAAAUUUAUGCUCCAAUGCUUUCUCCUUACUUGGUCUUUUUAAGGCUACGUUUGGAUUUGCGAAAAUUUGAGGGAAAGAAAAUAGGGAGGAAGAGCGGAAGAAAGGAGAAAGCAAAGAAAUAUGUUGAACAUUAUAGACUGGUUAGAAUGUGAGAAUAAUUAGUGAAAUAGAAAAAAAGAAAAGGAAAAUGAAGGGUGUUUUUCGAUAUGAACCUGUGGAGGGGAUGCAUGUCUGGAGGUGUAAUGGCGGAGCGGAGGAUGCAUGUGAAGUCUACUGCAAUUUUCCAUCACCCGCUGUUCAUUGACUUUGACACCCCAUCUCAUGUGACCAUCGUUUCUUCCUGCGUCACUGCUGACUCAUGACUCAUGACCCAUGACUCAUAAGUGGUCCCUCUCUCAUUGCCCUGUUUGUAAUUUGUAUACCCACCCCUCUGCACCAAACUCCCCUCCAAACCCCUCUCUUGAUUUUGACGUUUCCUCUGUGCUCACCCUACUUUCACACUUUAGCCCCCUAUCAUUUUUACCCCUCCCUCCUCUUUAGUCUACCUCCAUCUUUCUAUGUCCCCCUCUGCUUGCUAUGUCCCCUCUGUUUGCCUUCUCCAUUUUUUUUCCUUUUUCUUUUGACUAUUAUGAUGGUAGUUUCUUAUGAAUGUCAGUGUGUGUUCCCAUACCCCAAGAGUUCAGAGCUCAGCCUUAUAUGAAGUUGAGAUGAAACGAAAACUCUCUCCCAGUUUCACAAGAAUGAGGCAAAGCCCAUUUAAAUACUUGUGAGUUUUUGUUUCAGGAGUUAUAGGAGGGGAUUGGUUAAUGCAUGGAAUCGUACCAACUUUUCUAGUUUUGAUUGCUUCCAUGCCUCAUUCAUUGCAACUCUGGUAUUUAAGAGUGAGCGAGGUUUUUCAGAUGACACAUAAUAAUUGAAAGAGACCCAGGGAUGCACAAAUAUACUUGUUAAUUGAUUGAAGGAGAAUAACUCUGAUAUGAGGCCGGUGCUUCAGUGAUUCUGGUUGAUUGGCUUUCAGGCAUUUCAGAGAUUCAUAUUCUUUUGUCCUAAUGGAUUCCAUGGAGGGGCAACAGCUAGACCUGCCUUGAUCCUAGCUGAACCCGACGGGUGUUUGUUUGUUUCAAUUUUCAAAGGCUAAAAGAAAAGAAAGAAAAAAAAAAUAUCAUCAAAUCCAUAAUUUUGAUAUUGUGUGUAAUUUCUUUUGCAGUACCUGGAAUGUUCAUGUAUUCCAAGAAGUGAUUUAGAAAAAAUAACAUUUCCCAUCUUAUAGUACAUUGAUUGCCCACCUUAAGUCGUUGGUUGGGCAACCAACCUCUUUACACCACCACAUUUCCUCCUCUACCCAUGCUUUAACCCAAAAAUUUUCAGAUUGAGAAUAGUUGAUGCAGGGGCAGAAAAGUCAGUUUGGACCCCAAUCCAUUGUCCCAGAUGGAAUGAGUAGUGAAGAAGCAAGAAAAUGAAGUGGCAAUCCAUUGCCCCAGAUGGAAUGGCAAGUGAAGAAGCAAGAAAAUAAAGUGGUGUAACAGGGAACAACUGUUGUUUUGCCUCAUUGGAAACAUCUGGUCCUACAUGUAAGAUAUGAGCACAUUAAAUAUGUGCUUGUCUUUGCUGCGUUUAUUGGGGAGUCUUUGUUUCGUCAAUGCCAACCCACAAAAAGAAGGCCUUCUGGUAUGUUGAAAAAAGCAGUUUUGUUGUUCUUAUUUCUCUUCCUUUGAUGGUUCUCUUCGGCGUCGUGAUUUGCAGGCAUGGGCAGGCUUUAAUGGCUACGCACCUCUCUCUCUAU